AUUGAACGCUGGCGGCAGGCCUAACACAUGCAAGUCGAACGAGUGGCGGACGGGUGAGUCAUGUCUGGGAAACUGCCCGAUGGAGGGGGAUAACUACUGGAAACGGUAGCUAAUACCGCAUACCAUCGGAUGUGCCCAGAUGGGAUGCGCUAGUCGGUGGGGUAACGGCUGACCUAGGACACGAGCCCUAGCUGGUCUGAGAGGAUGACCAGCCACACUGGAACUGAGACACGGUCCAGACUCCGACGGGAGGCAGCAGUGGGGAAUAUUGCACAAUGGGCGCAAGCCUGAUGCAGCAAUGCCGCGUGUAUGAAGAAGGCCUUCGGGUUGUAAAGUACUUUCAGCGAGGAGGCGUUACUCGCAGAAGAAGCAUCGGCUAACUCCGUGCCAGCAGCCGCGGUAAUUC
This 406-nucleotide ribosomal RNA is filed under the name uncultured bacterium. Its description in RNAcentral is "partial 16S ribosomal RNA". It matches the Rfam family "Bacterial small subunit ribosomal RNA", at positions 30 to 526 of the family's 1533-position model. The record is from RNAcentral.